This 468-nucleotide ribosomal RNA is filed under the name uncultured bacterium. Its description in RNAcentral is "partial 16S ribosomal RNA". It matches the Rfam family "Bacterial small subunit ribosomal RNA", at positions 28 to 507 of the family's 1533-position model. The record is from RNAcentral.
GACGAACGCUGGCGGCGUGCUUAACACAUGCAAGUCGAACGGAAAGGCCCUGCUUUUGUGGGGUGCUCGAGUGGCGAACGGGUGAGUAACACGUGAGUAACCUGCCCUUGACUUUGGGAUAACUUCAGGAAACUGGGGCUAAUACCGGAUAGGAGCUCCUGCUGCAUGGUGGGGGUUGGAAAUUUUCGGCGGUUGGGGAUGGACUCCCGGCUUAUCAGCUUGUUGGUGGGGUAGUGGCUUACCAAGGCUUUGACGGGUAGCCGGCCUGGGAGGGUGACCGGCCACAUUGGGACUACGAUACGGCCCAGAGUCCUACGGGAGGCAGCAGUGGGGAAUAUUGCACAAUGGGCGGAAGCCUGAUGCAGCAACGCCGCGUGCGGGAUGACGGCCUUCGGGUUGUAAACCGCUUUCGCCUGUGACGAAGCGUGAGUGACGGUAAUGGGUAAAGAAGCACCGGCUAACUACGUG